CACCUCUUCCUAUGUGUCACUUCCUCCCUGGCCGCCGAGGAGGUAAAAUGGCGGCCGGCCUGAGCAGCCAAUGGGGCGGCAGGGGAGGGCUCUGAGUGCAUUGGUGGUGCCAGUACAGGAGCAUUGUGUCUGGGUCAAGUGUGAGCAGCGUUUAAAGGCUCCUGAAAACAAAGAGCUGAAGAGGACACCUCACACGUCUACAGUGCAGGUGGAUUUGGUGCCUCAGCAUCUUUUAUGGAGCUGAAAGUUCCCAUCUCAUCUUUGCGCUUUAGCUCAGCCUCUGGUGCGUGGUAUUCCCUUCCUGCAUGACUCCUGACAGCUUUGAGAUGUCUGCAGUUGAGAAGAUCGAGGAGCAGUUUGCCAGUCUGCGCAUAGCAAAGCGCUCCGUGUUAAGCGAGGAACCUGCUUACCUGCUGGAUGUAGAUGUCUCUGGACCUGCUCAGUCUGAAGGCAGCCGCUUUGUGGCAGUUUCGUGUUCCAAUAAAUCAAUUAGAGUCUAUAACAGAGAAACACUGAGCUUCCUGCAGGAGUACAGUAGCUGCCCUGGGACACUGAGUGGCGUCAGAUUUGCGCAUGCGUGUGACAGCUUGGUGUUUUCUGCAUGCAGUGAUGGCACGGUAAAAUGUUGGGAUGUUCGUUUAGCAGCUCAGAAAGCUGUGCAGGUAUUUAGCGGCUAUCCUUCCAACGUGUUCAUCAGUUUCGAUAUCAAUUGCAGUGAUCUCGUGAUCUGUGCUGGAACUGAAAAAGUAGAAACGGAUACAUUCCUGGUGUUUUGGGAUGCGAGAGGCAGCACAGACUGUGCCAGCACAACUAGGGAACCAUUGGGAGUGUACUCUGAAAGUCACAACGAUGAUGUCACUAAGAUUUGUUUUCAUCCUGUCAAACCCAGUUUGGUUGUUUCUGGGUCAACCGAUGGCUUGGUUAAUGUGUUUGACAUUAACAAGGAUAAUGAAGAUGAUGCUCUGAUAUCAACCUGUAAUUCAGAUUCAUCAGUAAGUUUUAUUGGCUGGUCUGGGAAAGGUUAUGAACAGAUCUACUGCACAACCCACGACGAGGGAUUUUGUUGGUGGGACCUUGCUCAGUUAGAUACCGAAGAACCAAUAAUGCUAUUGCGUGUUCUGGAUGCCAGAGACUCAGUCUGCAUUGAAAAUGGCAGCUUAAAUUACCUGGUGGGAGGCACGUACCAUGAAAAGGCAGACAGGCUCUUUCUGAUCGGAGGAACGGCAACAGGAGACAUUCACCUGUUAAGCUGCAGUGCUGCAGGGCUCAGCCUGGUGGGAACCCUUCCAGGGGGACACUCAGCCACUGUUCGCUCUUUCUGCUGGAACCCGGCGGAGGAGUCGCUGUUGACGGGAGGAGAGGAUGCCCAGCUGUUGUUAUGGAGGCCCGGAGCUGUGGAACACUCCCUGGCAAAGAAAAUGUCAAUGAAGGUUCCUUCUUCUGUGCAGAAGAGAGUGAGAGUUCACAACAGCUCCCUCAAAAGCAGGAAAAAAUAAAAUGCUGGGAAUGGGAACCUGCAAUAUAGAGUUCUCCAGCCUGAUUUAUCCUUCCAGGCAAUACUUGGCUGCUGCUUUCUUUGGAGGUGUCCUGUGGAAAGAGCUGCAAUACAUGAAUUCUGUUUGGGAACUUCCAUCAGUUGCUAAUAUUAAUCUGAACAGAGUAAAUGUAUUCCUCAUGAACCAGUGAGCAAAUAUCUGCCAUCAUUUUCUAUAAAGAUACUUUGUAUGGUUGUUUAAUGUCUCAGCCAUGGUUUUAAUGCAUCAUACAGGCCCGCGCCUUGCGUAAUUUGUUAGUUUCCCAGUGAAAUUCCCUGGCGUGUUUUAAAAGCUUUUGUAUUUCAAGCUGUGUUUUUCUUUCUUUACAGAGAACUUAAUGAAAUUGCUCAAUAUAUUAAAAGAUUUUAUGUCGCUUCUUAAUGCUUGAGGGAAUUACUUCAUAAUGAAACAGCAAAGAAGUGCUCUUUUUGCAUUGUCAUAUUGCUGGUUUAUAACGAGCUCGUAAAGCAGCACUUGAUGGAGUCAUGUUUUAUUAUAGCAAAGAUAUGAAUGUAUUCAACCAAAUGGGAACGCACUGCUCUGCACAGCUGGUUUUUUGACUGAGAGGUGUUAGAACUGUCUUCUGAGGACGUGGUUACUGAGUAACAGGCCAGUGUGAAAGGCUUGAAGAAAAUCUAUUCUGUGAAGUUUUGUGAAGUCUGUUAAGAGAAGCGCUGAUGUGCAGACAUCUCUCGAUGAUUGCUUUGUUUUACUGUUCCAUCAGACAGCGAUUAAGUGCUGCAAAAAUUGCCCCGUUCUGAAACGGUUGAAUUUUUAUGCUUACUCUGCUCCGCUGGCAGACUCCAAUCUGUGCAUCUGGCUCUGCACACGCAAUUACCUCCAGCCUUCGGAGUACCAUUGCAGUCAAAUAUCGGUUAAAUCCAGCACAUGCUGCUGCCCUCUGUGCCUGGGCUGCUCCCUCUGCCUGUCUUCAAAGAUGGAUCCCAUACCCAGUGGGGUGUUUCAGUCCCUGUAUGAUUUCCCCCUGCUUUGGGGGAGCAGCAGGAAUUAUUUGACCAAUCUAAAUAAAGCCGAUACAAGGUGAGGGCAGGUGAGCGGAGGUAGCAAUGCAUUGAUAUCUGUGUCUCUGGAGUGGGGUGAAUCCCAUCCCUUUUCUCUGUGAGCAUUCCUGCCCUGGUGCAGGCCCAGGGGCUGCUCCUUAUUACACUGAUGGAGACAGGCAGGUGGACCCCCCUCACACCCUUUGGUCAGGGCUGUCUGUGAGGCUCCUGGGCUCAGGAGUCAGACCCUUUGACGCAAAUGUAACAGCUUGCUUCUGCUUUUGAGCUCGAUGGAAGCAGGAUAGGGCCGUCACUAAAUUAUGCAAAAUAUAAACACCCUUCAAGCAUAAAAGCCAGUUCCUGUUUGUCUGUGGGAUGAACAAUUCAGCAGUGAAGCGUGCAGGAGAGGCAGGAGCUGUCUGCUCACAGGUUUUCUUCCUUAACUUGUGGCAGUGAGGAGAGACACGGGCUGAGCCACUACUGCAGCCUCUACUGUGCAGGCACCACUGGGUGUCCUGAGACAUGGAAAAAGGAGACAAUGAGUGUGGCGACAACCAGCUGGGAGGGACCUGUCAGUCUUAUGGAACCAUAGAAUGGGUUGGGUUGGAAUGGACCUUAAGGACAACCCAGUUCUUGUACCCUGCUGGGGAUGGGGCGCCUCCCAUCAGCUCAGGCUGUGCAGGGCUCCAUCUGUGGCCUUAUAUCAAUCUUACCCUCUCAUGUUUGGAAUCAAGAUUUGAUGCUGCUAAAAAAAUCCCCUAAGGGUGGUGUUGGAGCAGCCUUGUGCUAUAGGAACUCAGAACAGGUAGUGAGAAAUGCUCAGGUGGAAUUCAGGGUAGUUCUCUGUGCUGAUUUAAAUCAGUUGAGGAGGUGAAGUAUUUAUUAAAUGUCACAAGAAACAAACAAAAACCCCAACCACAAUUUCAGUCCAUCACCAGAGGACUGCUGCAUUGUGAGCAGUACACCUGGUGUGAUCAGUACUGAGAAGUACACCAAACUAAAGCUGAAGCACAAAUGCAGAACCACAGUUCAAUUUCCUUGAUGUUUUUAAUCCAGGAACUGUUAAUUAUCAGAGGAGCUGAGCUCUUAGGAGUGUGACGCAUGGUGGUGUUCGCUGUUUCAGAUUCAGAUUCAAACCACCUGAACACACACACAAGUAGCAGGUAAGAUGCCUGGAAGUGACCGUACCUUAACCAGUGUUCUCUAACAGCAAUUAGUGGGAUGGAGUUGAAGGAAGCCUCAGGGCUUCACUGUAACAACAAACUUGGUGAACUGUGUUGACUUGGGACUGAGAAAUGAGGGAUCAGGAGGAACAGUGGGAAGUAGAAAGUAUGGAGGUGAUAAAGGGACGCAGUAUGAGCACAAAUUUGUGCCCAUUUAUUUCCUAAGCUGUUGCAAUGUCCCAGGGCUGCAUUGAGAUGAGGUACAGUGUAAGUACCUGUGGUUCCUUGCAGGUGUGUGCAAUAUGCAAAGCUCACUUGCUGAUCACUGGCUUUAUUUCAGUGGCAGUCAGCAUGGGGAGGGUUAACUGCUGCUGCAAUACGAAGGGCAGUUUGACUGUUCUAUCCAGACUUUGCUUGAUGAAGCAGUUCAGAAAAGCUCUGUCGUAUUUUGUAUAGGAAAAAUCAAACGUUUUUCAGAUAUCUCUAUGGAGAAAUUUGGUAGAUUCAGACAUAAGUAAAGGUAUCUUGUGAGCUCCAGGUGUGAUUUUGCACCUAAGGCUCUGCUGAGCUAACAAAGGAAAUGAGCUUCCUUUUGUUUGCAAAAUAUAACCCCCCCCCCCGAAGUUCUUAACGCCUUUUCCACGCUGCCUGGACAGCUGAGCCACCACGCAGCUGUUCCUUGUCCUCUGCCUGUUCCUGAUACCUCCAACAAAACCUCAGAGAAGAAAGCUGACAGCGUUACCUAAUGUGGGUACAAACCAGAACGUUCAGUUGGUCCAUCCAAAGUAUGGGGGGGAUGAAGAAGAAUCACGUAGGUGACAUAUAACGGAGAACAGGGAGAACCAUUAUUGGUGUUUGGUUUCCAACUCAUGGCACAAGAGCUGCUCAGCACCAAAGGAACAUGAAACACACAGUUUUAAACUUGCAUUGUUAAUCACCUGCUGCAGGGACGUUAUUGAGUGCUCUAAAAGCAGGGCUGUGCUCUGAUGACAUCUUGGGCCACGUGUUCUCCAUGUAGAGCACUGUGUGUGCCUAAGAAACGUGCCAAGGGUCCACGUGUGUGUGUGCACACAUGGGAAGGAUGCUCCGAGCACUCGGUGUAAUGGAACAGGUGUGGGAGCCUGGGAUUUGCUUAUGGAGGCGAUCAGUCAGCGAUCAGAAAUGUUUGAACGUGGUUGAUAUUAAAGCAACUAUGAAAGUGGAAUAUUCUAAAUAUACACUUGGAAUAAUAAACCAUUGGUAACGUUCUGGAAGGAAAUGGUGUUCUGACAUUGAACGCUUAUUUUUUCCCAGAUUUUAGACAGGAUUUGAGGUUUUUUUCCAUUAUCUCCAGUAUGACUAAAAAUAACCCCCCUCCCUUUUCAAGGUAUGCUACAGAGUUGCUUAAAAUUAAAACUUCAGGCCCUUAGAACUCAAAUUAGGUGUGUGACAAAUGCAGCAUUUAGUAUGUAUGUGUUCUCCUUUUGCCAAGAUGGUUUCAUUACUGUGCAUUUCAUGAGCAGAACGUUCUUGAGAACCAUUAUGAAUAGAAUCCCAGCUUAUAGGGAGCGAUAUGAAAUGGCAUUUAUCUUUACUUUCCCCCAGGAACUCUUCCCUGUGUCAGUAGUGCUGCUAGCUGCCUUCAGAGCCAUGUUCCUACGUGCUCACCUUGCACUGUGGGUUGGGUUGGAUGCAAGUGGGAGAAACCUCUUCAGAGACAGGGGCUCCAGGCUGUGACCCAAGUAGCCCCAAGGCAAAGUUACAUGAAGGCUCCUUGCUGGGGGUGAAGCUGAAGCAAUCCUGAUGGGUUUUUAUUUGUAGCUUGUUGUUGAAGAGCCAAAGAGUGGAAGGUGAAUAGCAAGUUCCUGCUCAUCUUCAUUAGAUGGGAGCUGGACUUGAUGACCUUUAAAGGUCCCUUCCAACUCAAAUACUGUUCUAUGGAGCCUGAGGAAUGGAAUGGAUGCAGAAGAGGAGGCUGAAGUCAGAGCUGAUGGGGUGUGUAAAGGCUGUUGCCUUCUGACCACUGCUGAACUCUAUUUGCUUGCUGUGUUUCUGAGUGUUUUAUGAACAGCAGUGGCUCUUAUUGCCACGCACAGUUGGGUUAACAACAUGAGAUGUGUGAAGGCUGUGCUGGAGUGCUGCUGUGAUUUGGUAAGGAACAGAGAUGGCAGAACAAGUGCUUCAUUUCACUGAAGUCUGACAAACCCAUGGUGCUUUCCUGCCAGCUCUGUUUGGUUACUGGCAGAUUACUGCUGUUGUAUUUAAUGCACUAAAGCCGCUGACAGUGCCCUUAAAAUCUUCCUUAGAAACCAGGGCAGGUCUUAAGUAGCUGCAGUCAUUCAAUGUCUUUACUAUGGGGAGGCUGAAGAUGUUUCUCAGUGCACACUGCCAGCUGUACCGGUGCUGCAUGGGGUGGCUGCGCUGCUGGGGGAACCCUUGCAAAGGAAGUGGUGCUGGUGCUGUUAACUGCUUCCCUUUUACCAUGAACCCACUGUUAAGUAAGUGUGCUUUGUGAAGGGGACACUUAGGAAGUAGCCAUGUAAAAGAGAACGACCUAAUGCACUUUUCAUCUAGGACUGAUGAUUUCUGAAUGUCCCCCUGUCUCUGGUUAACUCAGCCUGAUACACGUCUCAAUUCAGCACUGCCUAAACACUUGGAGUACACAUUUGUAUGCUGAUGUUUUCCCCAGUGUUUCCAAGGCACUGGAAUAAGACUGGACUUUGUUAUUUUUUGAGAAAUGAGUUGUAUCCCUUACCAGACUAAAUGAUACAACAGUUUUCUGUCCUUUUUCCUCUACCAUUUGGGCUGCACCCCAUCCCCAAUAUUACCUGGAAUAAAUCCAAGUGUUAGUUGCCUUGCAACAUGACUACUUACUUUGGUGUGCUGGUAGGCUCAGCAUCGUGCAUUAAUCUAGUCCAAGUCUGACUCCAGCCUGUAGAACUUUCUCUAGCAGCUGCUUUCAGAGGGAACGAGUGUGACAUGAAACGAUGUUAAAGGAACUUUCCCAAAGUGACAAAGGACUUUUGUAGAAUUGGGAACAGAAACGCUUCAUGCUGGUUUUGGUCUGUGCUGGGCACUCUUGGGAUUGCUCCUCUUUGCUGCCAGCCAACUGGAUGUGGGGAAAUCACUGUUGUUCUCUUAUGGUGUUCUUGGAGUUCCUGAAUUUGGCUGCUCCCGAUGACCAGACAUGUCAAUUAGAACGUCUGUCUCCGUUCCAGAAGCAAAAAGGUAAAAUGCUUCUGACUAUUUCAGAACCAAGAACUUGUGCUUUUAUUUCCUCAGUCUCAGUUUCCAGGUAGGAUCUGCUAUGGCUGUUAAAGGGGCUGUUAAUGUAUUGUAAUCUGCAGCCUGAAUUACCAAAGCCUAAUCUAGAAAGCCAUUUGAAGGCAACUUCAGCUAGGAUGAAGUGUAGCUGGUUUGGGAUGUUGGCAGAAAGUUGCUCUGAAAUCAACCUUGAGUGACUAAACUGUGAUUAAUAGAUAAUAGCUUUCACAAUAGCUCUUGAUCGCAUUACUGAGCUUGAUUACUGUUUAUGUACUAAUAUUCUUAAAGGGCCUUGGGGCAUUUAUUUUAUUUUGUUCCAUCUUUUGUUUGCCAAAAUAAGUAAAAUAUCUGCCAAAAUGAGCCUUCUUGAGCUUCUAAGCUGUGGACAAACGUAGGUCCAGCUUGUCCAACCCCUUUCUCCAGCAGCGAGACCCGGAGCAGGCCAGGCCCAUGUCUGGGUGGCUUUAGGUCUCCAAGGAGGAGACUCCAGAACCUCUCUGGGCAGCCUGUGUCAGUCCUCCAACAGCUGCACAGAGAGAGUUUUCUCUUUGUGUUGCAAUGGAAGCUUUGCUUUCAGAGCUGAGAUUCUGGAGCGGGCAGAUGGCAAGUUCUAGCACCCACCGAAUGGUACAGUUGAUAGCAGUUGGCACGUUCGAUAGCUCCUGUGUGUAUGGGAAGGCUUCAGGAAAAUAAGCUCAUAAAGAGCAUGGAAGGACUGCAACCAUCUCUGGUCCAUCAGAGUCCCAUCUGUCUGUAAGACAUUACAUCUGAAUAUACACCAAUAGACUCAGGAUGGCCAACUGCUGAGAGCUGCUCAUUUACUGCAGCAUUGAGGUUCAACCCUGAUAAAUUCUCUGUUUUCUUCUCAACAUUAUUUCACUGAAAAAUAUCAGGAGAACUGGUUUGUUAGUUCUGUGGAUAGGAGUACUGACUUUCAUGGCAUUCUACUCCCUUUUCUUUCUCCCUACUGAAAAACAAAAUCACUCAUUAAUUCAGCUUAAUAAUUCUAUUAAAGGCAUCAUGCCCUCUGUAUUACCAUAAAUUAUCAGCUUUCCUUAAUUUGAAAUACUAACUCUGAACUUCAAAUUCAAACGCCUAUAGAAUGAAACCAGCUCCCUUAACAUGUAAAUGCUGGCCUGAGCUUUCCAAGCUUGGCUCUGAAAUGAAUCACAGAAUCACAGGGGUUAGAAGGGACCUCCAGAGAUCAUCGAGUCCAACCCCCAAUCGAGUCCCAAUCUUGCUGCAGGAGGGGAAAGAAGAUACGCUGCUAAGACAUCAUUACUGCCUCCUGCUGAAGUUCACUGCCAUGCUGGGAGGGAGUCAACGCUCACCAGGUUCGAUGAAGAACCAAAGGAAAGGCAGUGUCCUAAGUUGGGCUUUCAGAAGACAUCAGUCUGUACUCUUAGUGUAUUUUCCGUUUGUUUAACAGGGAGGUUUUAUUUUCUUGUCCAUUUUCAGGCAAAGCCUGCAGAGCUGCAGCAGGCCUCGUGCACCCCGACACAUGGAAGUGAAGGAAAAACUUGCAGAGGCAUAAAGGAAAGUUUUUUCCUCCUUAGAAGCUCGAUGACUGGUGCUUAAAUAUGUGCAAGGUUUUUAAAUUGCAGUUGUAACCAGGAUGAGAGCAGCAGGAACUGAGAUAUAUUUAAAUGCAUGCUUAUGUAUUUCAUACUAUAAUUAAGAGGUGUUAAAGAACAACAAAGUUAUGGGAGAAAAUGAUAGAGGGUAAGAAAGGAAAUAAGCAAUUCAUGGGAACAAAAGAACUAUAGGAUGAGAGAAACUUGCCUGUUAAAUUAUAUACCAUGCACUGCAGACAUUGAGUGCUUUGUUUUUUCAGGCUGAAACGUGUGUUUCAGGAUGGCACUUCUCCCAUUUCCUCCUAAGUUCCAAAGAAGCAGUUCUGGUUAAGCUAAAAAAAACCCCAACAACAGAGAAAUGGAUAAUCGUUCCAGAAGGGAGGUAUCACUCACUUACUGGGAAGGACUGAGAAUUCUGCUUGCAGCUCUUCAACUAUUGGCCCUGGUUCCUCUCUGUUUAUAUUUUGAAUUAGCAAGUCACAUACUGAACUCCGCCAAGUGACAGAAGGGGAAAUUUCUGUGUGUGGAGCACAGUCAUGCUCCCACAGGGAAUUGGCUUCCUUGGUGUAUCAGUGUUUUCAGGCACUGAUGACCCUGAGUGAGAAAUGGAAAGAAUAAGGAUGAGCCAGAUUUUGAGACAGGCAUGCACAAUUAAACACGUUUGAAUCUGCCUUAUUUACACUCGUGAGGAGCUGUUUGUAUGUCUCUCCUGACAACUCUGAGCCUAUGUAACCUUCUUUAAUAGCCACAUGGGUUGCUAUCCUCUUGGGCUUGAUUAGCUUGACCUUGCUUUCAUCCUUUGUAGCAGCAGCAUAGCCUGACCGGCUAGAACAGAUUUCAGCAUAGUGUAAAGCGUGCACAGUACUUAGAAAUUAACUGGGGAGAGAAAAGGAGCUGGAUGUAGGUGAUAUAUAGAUUGUAGGAUCUGUGUAUGAAUAUGGAGUAAAAGGGUGAGAGGUUGUGUGUGUUUAUAUGGGCUUCUCACAGCAUGUGUACGAAGCUCUGGUUAUAAUGAGCAUUUUCAUACAAAGUUUCUCUCUCACUUGAAAUUUGUAAGGCUCUAAAUGGCCUUUUCCUCCUCAAUGUAACAAAUAUCUGUAGAAAUCAUGUAUUAUCUACUGGCUUGGGUCACACUUGAAUGCAGGUUUCUAUGUAAGGAAUAACAGAUUUUGAUGCCUCGUGACCUCUGGUAACAUUACUGAUGUAUUUACCCAAGCACACUUGUGCAUAAACCAUCAUUUAUUGAAAAGGCAGAAGAGUGAAUCAACUUUUAUCGUUCAUCUGAUCUCAGUCCCCAUCUUUCCGAGGGCAGGAUGUGUGUGUAGGUAAAGCAAAUGGAAUCUCUGCUAUAUGUACUGGGAAAUGCUGAUAGGCUGCUUUUUUUGUGUAGCGUUGAUUUUUCUGAGCAGAACUUCUUGUCAAACAAAGCAAAACGAAAAGCCAACACAUCCCUUUCAAGAAACCCUUUGUCUGUGUACACCAGUCAAUGACACUUAGUCCCAUUAAUGGGAAAAUGGAUAUUAACCACCCAGGGAUCCUCUCUUCCAGGAAACAUUGCAAGGCUGACUGAAGAGUCUCAGCUUAAACCAGUCUGACAUGUUGAUCAACAGAAAAACUGCUCCAAGAGGAUGUUACCACUAUUGGGAGUUAUAUCAGAAGUGCCAUCGCCACGACCAGAAUUCUGGUGAGAAACCUUUCAUGUCUCUGGUUUCACAGUUCUUGCCUUUGGGGUCACUGAGAAGCGAUCAGACAGUGAGCUGAAGGACAGGUUGGCUAAGCAUGAAGUGAUACAAUGCAAACGACAGUGUAUUUGGAGGAAAAGUGUAAAGACCUUAAUUCUCCAGAGUUAAGCCUGCCAUAAACAUACCUAAACAAAUGGCAUAAUUUUAGGGCCUACAGACACUACAUAACAGUUGUGUAGCUCACCGAAAAUCUUCCAGGCAAUAAUAGAAAUAGUCUGUAAGGUCCAGAAGAGCACACCCCCUUUGCGCAUGCAGGGUAAAGUCUCAAGCUGGCACUGCUGCUAAUUCACACAGGCACUGAAGUGCCCUUGAUUCCUGGAUGGGGGUAAGAACAGAUAACAUCAGUGUAGCGCUGCUGCAAGAUCAGGCUAAGCCACACGCCUGUGGCAUAUGUCUGCUGAGCGUUAGGUAAGGGAGCAAAAAUGCACGGUAUCUCCCAUAGAUUCUGACAGUAUCCUGAGCAGGGACUGGCUCUGAGCAUUAAGGUGAAAUCCAGUCAUUCUAAGAAUAUCCUCUAUCUCCAAAAAACACUUACUCUCUGGGGAAAA
Molecule: non-coding RNA, 10806 nt
Organism: Coturnix japonica (Japanese quail)
Lineage: Eukaryota; Metazoa; Chordata; Aves; Galliformes; Phasianidae
Source: RefSeq, a predicted model, not a curated record